UUUCGGAGCGUAAACUCCUUUUAUCAGGAAAGAAUAAUGACGGUACCUGAUGAAUAAGCACCGGCUAACUCCGUGCCAGCAGCCGCGGUAAUACGGGGGGUGCAAGCGUUACUCGGAAUCACUGGGCGUAAAGGACGCGUAGGCGGAUUAUCAAGUCUUUUGUGAAAUCUAGUGGCUUAACCACUAAACUGCUUAGGAAACUGAUAGUCUAGAGUAGGGGAGAGGUAGAUGGAAUUCUUGGUGUAGGGGUAAAAUCCGUAGAGAUCAAGAAGAAUACCCAUUGCGAAAGCGAUCUGCUGGAACCUAACUGACGCUGAGGCGUGAAAGCGUGGGUAGCAAACAGGAUUAGAUACCCUGGUAGUCCACGCCCUAAACGAUGUAUACUAGUUGUUGCUUUGCUAGUCAAGGCAGUAAUGCAGCUAACGCAUUAAGUAUACCGCCUGGGGAGUACGGUCGCAAGAUUAAAACUCAAAGGAAUAGACGGGGACCCGCACAAGCGGUGGAGCAUGUGGUUUAAUUCGAAGAUACGCGAAGAACCUUACCUGGACUUGACAUCCUAAAAACAUCUAAGAGAUUAAAAAGUGCUAGUUUACUAAAAUUUAAUGACAGGUGCUGCACGGCUGUCGUCAGCUCGUGUCGUGAGAUGUUGGGUUAAGUCCCGCAACGAGCGCAACCCACGUGUUUAGUUGCUAACAGUUCGGCUGAGCACUCUAAACAGACUGCCUUCGUAAGGAGGAGGAAGGUGUGGACGACGUCAAGUCAUCAUGGCCCUUAUGUCCAGGGCGACACACUGCCUACAA
RNAcentral lists this ribosomal RNA (800 nucleotides) under uncultured Bacteroides sp. Its description in RNAcentral is "bacterial SSU rRNA". It matches the Rfam family "Bacterial small subunit ribosomal RNA", at positions 416 to 1230 of the family's 1533-position model. Lineage: Bacteria; Pseudomonadati; Bacteroidota; Bacteroidia; Bacteroidales; Bacteroidaceae. The record is from RNAcentral.